RNAcentral lists this non-coding RNA (74 nucleotides) under uncultured Prevotella sp. RNAcentral describes it as "L13-Bacteroidia ribosomal protein leader". It matches the Rfam family "L13-Bacteroidia ribosomal protein leader". Lineage: Bacteria; Pseudomonadati; Bacteroidota; Bacteroidia; Bacteroidales; Prevotellaceae. The record is from RNAcentral.
GGGAUGUACUUAGCGUCCCCUGUGUGGGCGUGUUAAUAGUGGCACUUUUGGCCGAGUGUCAUGGUUAGUGAAUC